Molecule: non-coding RNA, 45 nt
Filed under: Schistosoma margrebowiei
Lineage: Eukaryota; Metazoa; Platyhelminthes; Trematoda; Strigeidida; Schistosomatidae
Source: RNAcentral
AUCCAUCUGACGAGUCUUAAAUAGGAUGAAACACGAUUCCUGGAU